Neofelis nebulosa (Clouded leopard) is the source of this 418-nucleotide long non-coding RNA. RefSeq lists it as uncharacterized. The transcript is spliced from 3 exons. NCBI's taxonomy places the organism in Eukaryota, Metazoa, Chordata, Mammalia, Carnivora, Felidae. The record is from RefSeq and is a predicted model, not a curated record.
CCUACACCUACAAUUGCUUAUUCAGUGUCUCUCUUCUCUCCCAGAAUAUAAGCUCCAUGAAGCUCCAGCCUACAGACCCUUUACAUCUGAUACGUGUCCACCCAGAGACUUGGCUUUUUCGCAGCUACAGUAGGUGAUGCAACUGCAUCCUGUCCAUGUUCAGAUUCAGGCUCCAAGAUCCAUCUUCUGCCAGAAGCCAUCAUUCACAAGGGAUGGAGCCCACAGGAUGAUGGCUUGCCCUGGAGGAGAGGAAGAAAUCUGCCAAAAAAAAAAAAAAAAAAAGAAAAAGGAACCAAAGGGCCUUGAGUAUGUUGAGCCUGUUUCUGCCAUAGAUAGAAGAAAACUUAUAUCUCUAGAAUUCAUAAAUGGGCAUGGUAAUCUAAAAAGAGAAGCAAAAAUGAACAUUUUUGAGUGUCUA